CUCGUAGUUGGAUUUCUGGUGGGAGCGGUCGGUGCGGUCCUCAGGAUUGCUACUCGUACCGUCUCUCGCCAUCCUUGGGUCGAUCCUGUCUGGCAUUAAGUUGUCGGGCAGGGGAUGCCCAUCGUUUACUGUGAAAAAAUUAGAGUGUUCAAAGCAGGCUUAUGCCGUUGAAUAUAUUAGCAUGGAAUAAUAAGAUAGGACUUUGGUACUAUUUUGUUGGUUUGCGCACCAAAGUAAUGAUUAAUAGGGACAGUUGGGGGUAUUCGUAUUCCGUUGUCAGAGGUGAAAUUCUUGGAUUUCCGGAAGACGAACUACUGCGAAAGCAUUUACCAA
Molecule: ribosomal RNA, 333 nt
Filed under: Leyanellaceae sp. RCC1863
Lineage: Eukaryota; Bacillariophyta; Thalassiosirophyceae; Cymatosirales; Cymatosiraceae
Description: SSU rRNA
Rfam family: Eukaryotic small subunit ribosomal RNA
Source: RNAcentral